CAACUGAAUAUUUUAUUUGAAUGUAUAACCUCAUUAAUAUGGUCUGAGGGUCUCUACCAGGAACCGGAAAAUCCUGACUACAGAAAAUGUUUACUCAUUU
This is a non-coding RNA of Paenibacillus sp. Y412MC10, 100 nucleotides long. NCBI's taxonomy places the organism in Bacteria, Bacillati, Bacillota, Bacilli, Caryophanales, Paenibacillaceae. The record is from Rfam.